UACGUAGGGGGCAAGCGUUGUCCGGAUUUAUUGGGCGUAAAGAGCUCGUAGGCGGUUUGGUAAGUCAGGUGUGAAAUCUCCACGCUCAACGUGGAGGGGCCACCUGAUACUGCCAUGACUGGAGUCCGGUAGAGGAGUGUGGAAUUCCCGGUGUAGCGGUGAAAUGCGCAGAUAUCAGGAGGAACACCAAUGGCGAAGGCAGCACUCUGGGACGUGACUGACGCUGAGACGCGAAAGCGUGGGGAGCAAACAGG
Molecule: ribosomal RNA, 254 nt
Filed under: uncultured bacterium
Lineage: Bacteria
Description: partial 16S ribosomal RNA
Rfam family: Bacterial small subunit ribosomal RNA
Source: RNAcentral